AGAUAUUAUUAUAAGUAUACCCUGCCCAAUGAAUUCUUAAAUGGCCGCGGUAUCCUAACCGUGCAAAGGUAGCAUAAUAACUUGUCUAUUAAUUGUAGGCUAGAAUGAAGGGGUAAACGAAAUAAAUACUGUCUCUUAUAUACAAAUAUAAACUAUCCUUCAAGUGAAGAGACUUGAAUAAAAUUAAAAGACAAGAAGACCCUAUAGAGCUUUAUUCUAAAUAUAAACUUAUUAUAUUAAAAUUUGGUUGGGGCGACCUAGGAACACUUAACAUCCUAAUAAUGUACUUAAGACCUAUCAGUCUUCUAUAGAUCCAUUUAAUGAUCAAUAAAUUAAGUUACCUUAGGGAUAACAGGCUAAUAUUUUUCUAGAGUCCUUAUCAAGCAAAAAUGUUUGGCACCUCGAUGUUGGCUUAGGGAUCCUUUAUGGUGCAGAAGUCAUAUAAGGAGGUUUGUUCAACCUAU
RNAcentral lists this ribosomal RNA (464 nucleotides) under Paraclepsis vulnifera. RNAcentral's name for it is "partial large subunit ribosomal RNA". It matches the Rfam family "Bacterial large subunit ribosomal RNA", at positions 1838 to 2589 of the family's 2925-position model. Lineage: Eukaryota; Metazoa; Annelida; Clitellata; Rhynchobdellida; Glossiphoniidae. The record is from RNAcentral.